This 278-nucleotide long non-coding RNA is filed under the name Phaseolus vulgaris (common bean). RNAcentral's name for it is "long non-coding RNA (PVUL_LNC001618)". The record is from RNAcentral. Lineage: Eukaryota; Viridiplantae; Streptophyta; Magnoliopsida; Fabales; Fabaceae.
GUAAUGAGCCUAUCCUCUCUUCUAUAUUCAAAGUGAAAUCAAUUAUCAAUAUAAGACCAGAAUAUUCGGAGGACUCUUUUGACCAAACAAAUAUAUGUCAACAAAGUUGUUUUUUUAUUCAAAUCCAAAGACUUAUUUUUAAUUUAUACAUAGGUCAUCCAUCGAUUACGCAUUGUACAAAGGGGAGGUUUAAAUUCACCCGUUUUUCAUUUCUCGACGUAAAUAGGAUUCAAGACAUUUUAUCGACAUGAGUGUUUUAUAUCGAAAAAAAAUNNNNN